This 216-nucleotide unclassified non-coding RNA is filed under the name Stagonosporopsis sp. RNAcentral's name for it is "partial internal transcribed spacer region". The stretch from base 1 to 46 matches the Rfam family "Eukaryotic small subunit ribosomal RNA", at positions 1786 to 1831 of the family's 1831-position model. Lineage: Eukaryota; Fungi; Ascomycota; Dothideomycetes; Pleosporales; Didymellaceae. The record is from RNAcentral.
AAGUCGUAACAAGGUUUCCGUAGGUGAACCUGCGGAAGGAUCAUUACCUAGAGUUGCGGGCUUUGCCUGCCAUCUCUUACCCAUGUCUUUUGAGUACCUUCGUUUCCUCGGCGGGUCCGCCCGCCGAUUGGACAACACUUAAACCCUUUGUAAUUGAAAUCAGCGUCUGAAAAAACUCAAUAGUUACAACUUUCAACAACGGAUCUCUUGGUUCUG